Molecule: ribosomal RNA, 467 nt
Filed under: uncultured bacterium
Lineage: Bacteria
Description: partial 16S ribosomal RNA
Rfam family: Bacterial small subunit ribosomal RNA
Source: RNAcentral
GACGAACGCUGGCGGCGUGCUUAACACAUGCAAGUCGAACGGAAAGGCCUCUUUCGGGGGGUACUCGAGUGGCGAACGGGUGAGUAACACGUGAGUAACCUGCCCUUGACUUUGGGAUAACUUCAGGAAACUGGGGCUAAUACCGGAUACGAGCUCCUGCUGCAUGGUGGGGGUUGGAAAGUUUCGGCGGUUGGGGAUGGACUCGCGGCUUAUCAGCUUGUUGGUGGGGUAGUGGCUUACCAAGGCUUUGACGGGUAGCCGGCCUGAGAGGGUGACCGGCCACAUUGGGACUGAGAUACGGCCCAGACUCCUACGGGAGGCAGCAGUGGGGAAUAUUGCACAAUGGGUGGAAGCCUGAUGCAGCAACGCCGUGUGCGGGAUGACGGCCUUCGGGUUGUAAACCGCUUUCGCUCAUGACGAAGCUUUGUGUGACGGUAGUGGGUAAAGAAGCACCGGCUAACUACGUG